RNAcentral lists this ribosomal RNA (1053 nucleotides) under Bacillus licheniformis. RNAcentral describes it as "bacterial SSU rRNA". It matches the Rfam family "Bacterial small subunit ribosomal RNA", at positions 33 to 1081 of the family's 1533-position model. The record is from RNAcentral. Lineage: Bacteria; Bacillati; Bacillota; Bacilli; Caryophanales; Bacillaceae.
AAGUGCGGCGUGCUAUACUGCAAGUCGAGCGGACCGACGGGAGCUUGCUCCCUUAGGUCAGCGGCGGACGGGUGAGUAACACGUGGGUAACCUGCCUGUAAGACUGGGAUAACUCCGGGAAACCGGGGCUAAUACCGGAUGCUUGAUUGAACCGCAUGGUUCCAUCCUAAAAGGGGGCUUUUAACUACCCCUUUCCGAUGGACCCCCGGCGCAUUAACUAAUUGGUGAGGUAACGGCUCCCCCAGGCGACCAUGCGUAACCCACCUGAAAAGGUGAUCGGCCCCCCUGGGACUGAAACCCGGCCCCAACUCCUACGGGAAGCAGCAGUAGGGAAUCUUCCCCAAUGGACGAAAGUCUGACGGAACAACGCCCCGUGAGUGAUGAAGGGUUUCCGAUCGUAAAACUCUGGUGGUAGGGAAGAACAAGUACCGGUCCAAUAAGGCGGGACCUUGACGGGACCUAACCAGAAAGCCCCGGCUAACUACGUGCCAGCAGCCGCGGUAAUACGUAAGUGGCAAGCGUUGGCCGGAAUUAUUGGGCGUAAAGCGCGCGCAGGCGGUUUCUUAAGUCUGAUGUGAAAGCCCCCGGCUCAACCGGGGAAGGUCAUUGGAAACUGGGGAACUUGAAUGCAGAAAAAGAAAAUGGAAUUCCACGUGUAACGGUGAAAUGCCUAAAAAUGUGGAAGAACACCAGUGGCGAAGGCGACUCUCUGGUCUGGAACUGACGCUGAAGCGCGAAAGCGUGGGGAGCGAACAGGAUUAGAUACCCUGGUAGUCCACGCCGUAAACGAUGAGUGCUAAGUGUUAGAGGGUUUCCGCCCUUUAGUGCUGCAGCAAACGCAUUAAGCACUCCGCCUGGGGAGUACGGUCGCAAGACUGAAACUCAAAGGAAUUGACGGGGGCCCGCCAAGCGGGGGAACAUGUGGUUAAUUCCAAGCACCCGAAGAACCUUACCAGGUCUUGACUCCUCUGACAACCUAAAAAUAGGCUUCCCUUCGGGGCAAAAGGACGGGGGGGGCUGGGUUGCCCCACCCCGGCCGGGAAAAAUGGGGUU